UAUUGGUCAAUGGGCGCGAGCCUGAACCAGCCAAGUAGCGUGAAGGAUGACGGCCCUAUGGGUUGUAAACUUCUUUUAUAUGGGAAUANAGUUUGGUAAGCAUACCAUUUUGUAUGUACCAUAUGAAUAAGGAACGGCUAACUCCGAGCUAGCAGCCGCGGUAAUACGGAGGAUCCGAGCGUUAUCCGGAUUUAUUGGGUUUAAAGGGAGCGUAGGUGGAUUGUUAAGUCAGUUGUGAAAGUUUGCGGCUCAACCGUAAAAUUGCAGUUGAUACUGGAUGUCUUGAGUACAGUAGAGGUGGGCGGAAUUCGUGGUGUAGCGGUGAAAUGCUUGGAUAUCACGAAGAACUCCGAUUGCGAAGGCAGCUCACUGGACUGCAACUGACACUGAUGCUCGAAAGUGUGGGUAUCAAACA
Molecule: ribosomal RNA, 415 nt
Filed under: uncultured bacterium
Lineage: Bacteria
Description: bacterial SSU rRNA
Rfam family: Bacterial small subunit ribosomal RNA
Source: RNAcentral